GACGAACGCUGGCGGCGUGCCUGACACAUGCAAGUCGGACGGUUCUUGCACCUUCAAGCUUGCUUGCUGGUGCAAGGAUAGUGGCGGACGGGUGAGUAACGCGUGAACAUCUACCCAUUGGAGGGGGACAACCCGUCGAAAGGCGGGCUAAUACCGCGUAAGCCGCGAGGUGAGAGGCUGCCUAUUGGUGGCCGCCGAUGGAUGGGUUCGCGUCCUAUCAGCUGGUUGGUGGGGUAACGGCCUACCAAGGCGAAGACGGGUAGCCGGUCUGAGAGGAUGGCCGGCCACACUGGAACUGAGACACGGUCCAGACUCCUACGGGAGGCAGCAGUGGGGAAUAUUGGGCAAUGGGGGUAACCCUGACCCAGCGACGCCGCGUGAGGGACGAAGGUUUUCGGAUCGUAAACCUCUGUUGUACGGGAAGAAGGAAUUGACGGUACCGUACGAGAAAGCCCCGGCAAACUACGUGCCAGCAGCCGCGGUAAGCUAGUCUACG
Molecule: ribosomal RNA, 496 nt
Filed under: uncultured bacterium
Lineage: Bacteria
Description: bacterial SSU rRNA
Rfam family: Bacterial small subunit ribosomal RNA
Source: RNAcentral